GAGCGGUAACAGGAGAAAGCUUGCUUUCUUGCUGACGAGCGGCGGACGGGUGAGUAAUGUAUGGGGAUCUGCCCGAUAGAGGGGGAUAACUACUGGAAACGGUGGCUAAUACCGCAUAAAGUCUACGGACCAAAGCAGGGGCUCUUAGGACCUUGCACUAUCGGAUGAACCCAUAUGGGAUUAGGUAGUAGGUGGGGUAAAGGCUCACCUAGGCGACGAUCUCUAGCUGGUCUGAGAGGA
RNAcentral lists this ribosomal RNA (240 nucleotides) under uncultured bacterium. RNAcentral's name for it is "partial 16S ribosomal RNA". It matches the Rfam family "Bacterial small subunit ribosomal RNA", at positions 64 to 300 of the family's 1533-position model. The record is from RNAcentral.